Molecule: ribosomal RNA, 301 nt
Filed under: uncultured bacterium
Lineage: Bacteria
Description: partial 16S ribosomal RNA
Rfam family: Bacterial small subunit ribosomal RNA
Source: RNAcentral
CAGCAGCCACGGGAAUACGGAGGGUGCAAGCGUUAUCCGGAUUUAUUGGGUUUAAAGGGUCCGUAGGCGGAUCUGUAAGUCAGUGGUGAAAUCUCACAGCUUAACUGUGAAACUGCCAUUGAUACUGCAGGUCUUGAGUAAAUUUGAAGUGGCUGGAAUAAGUAGUGUAGCGGUGAAAUGCAUAGAUAUUACUUAGAACACCAAUUGCGAAGGCAGGUCACUAAGAUUUAACUGACGCUGAUGGACGAAAGCGUGGGGAGCGAACAGGAUUAGAUACCCCGGUAGUCCCUGUCUCUUAUAA